Molecule: unclassified non-coding RNA, 3105 nt
Filed under: Leishmania donovani
Lineage: Eukaryota; Euglenozoa; Kinetoplastea; Trypanosomatida; Trypanosomatidae
Description: gene:LdHU3.23.1080(CDS-product:WD_domain_G-beta_r epeat/BING4CT_(NUC141)_domain_containing_protein_putative)
Source: RNAcentral
GAACUGCAAGUCAUGCCACCCACCACAUCGUCGAUAUCCCGAUCUUCACAGCCGGUGGCCACGGCCGCACCGCGACCGGUUGGUGCACAGCGGAAGCUCUCCAAGGAGGUGCAGGAACUCAUCGAUAAGCGCACGGAGGAGCUUAAGCAGGAGACGGGGCAGCAUGAGAAAAAGUUUAUACAGGGUCGGUGGGUGACCGACACAGCCGCCCUGCGCAACCGCGGGGCGCGCCGACGGGAGGAGCUGAACCGACAAGCCCCCAAGAGACUCGCCAAGGUGGACAUGUACUAUCAAAUGGAGGAGGACAACACCGGGCUUUUGCUGGACGAUCACGAAGUCGCUGACCGCGUCUCGCAGCGCGACAUUGCCAGUGGCGUGGAUCUGCAGACCCAGCAGAAGCGCUACAGCCUCGUGCUGGAUAAGCUGGGGCCCUACAAGAUUGACUUUUCGAUGAACGGCACGCACCUGCUGCUCGCGGGCCUGCGCGGUCACAUGGCCAAUAUUCGCUGGAAAUCCUUUCACCUUGAGGGCGAGACACAACUGAAGGACCGCAUCAGCGACGCCAUCUUCCUGGUCGACCACAGUAUGACGGCAGUCGCGCAGAAGAAGUUUGUCUACAUGUACACGAAAGAGGGAACGGAGAUGCACCUCCUCUCCAAGAUGGCGCACAUGGACCGCCUUGGGUACCUGCCAAGGCACAUGCUGCUCGCCGCCACCUCAUCCACCUAUAGCACAAUGCAGUAUCUGGAUAUUAGCACUGGGCAGGAGGUGGGCACCAAAGUGCCCGCCGUCAUGCGCGACCCGACGAGCUGUCUCGCCGUGAACCCCAGCAAUGGCGUCGCCGCCACAUGCGACCUGCGUGGCGUUGUGAAGUUUUGGUCACCAACGGUGGUGGACCCGCUGUUGCAACUGAAGGGCCACAAGGGCGUCAUCGAGGAUAUCUGCUUCCACCCGAAUGGCCGCUUCUUUUUGACCCUCGGCGGCGACCACGCGAUGAAGGUGUGGGAUUGCCGCACGCUCCGCACGCUAGAGGAGUACGCCGUCACCUAUAGCUUUCACACACUCGACAUCUCCAGCAGCAGCCUCGUGGCGCUCGGCGGUGGCACAAACGUGCACAUCUGGAAGGAUAUGUUCACCGCCGCCAAGCCGAGCUCACCCUACAUGAAGUUUGGCCUCGGCUACGGCAAUAUUGCCGAGCAGGUGCGGUUCUGCCCCUUUGAAGAUGUGAUUGGGAUCGGCCACUCGCGCGGCUUUACGUCGCUGCUGAUCCCAGGCUCUGGGGAGGCGAACCCCGACUUCUACUACGCCAACCCACACGAGACGGAGCGGCACCGCAAGGAGCGGGUGGUGACGAACCUGCUCGACAAGCUUCCGCCCGACACCAUCUCGAUGGAUAUCCAGGUCCCUGGCGUUAAUGAAAAGCGGCUGGCAGAAUACAACGAAAAUCUGCGACUGAACCGCAAGGCGCGGGCGAUUCGCGAGAAGAAAAUGCGGCGCGCUAGCAAGUCGCUGGGAGAGGCGGCGCCGACCGGUCUCUUGGUGGGCCGGGACGAAGAAGUGGAUGAAGAACUCGGCUACAAGGAAGCACCCAAGACAAAGGAAGUCAAGUCGAAGCAGGAGCUGCAGCGGGAGCGCAAGAUGGCAAAAUGGGACAAGAAGGACAGCGCUGAUAAGGUGCGCAGCAAACAGACGCUCCGCGCCUCCCGCAUUGCACAGCGUAACCGCGCGCAGAUGGCGCGCGACGCACGCAACGGAGUGUACGACGAGAACGCGCUGGACGCUGAGGAGACAGAAGCGCUCGCUGCGGCGUCUCGGGCCGCAAAGCAGCACAAGAAGCUCGCUCGUAAGGAGGCACUCGAGAUAGCGAAUGACAUUCGCGGACAGCUUCGACAAGACUUGGACUACGAUCUGGAGGCGCCUCCAGCGCAGCGUCGUCGUCUCCAGAAGUCAUACCACGGCAGCGACAAAGACGGUCGCGGCGCUGAGGAGCGUGGCAGUAGCGGGCCAGAGGCCGUGGCACGUACGAAUGCCGCGUUCAAGCGCUUCCUCCGGUGACGUUGGGGAAGCGAACGCACUCACGAAAGUGCGAAAAAAAACACGAAAACGGCAGAAAGUUCUUGGUGGACUCAAAGAUGGUGCCAGAGCCUCCUCUUCCUCCUCCGGUGGCGUAGAGUGACAGGGGGGGCCACAGGAGUUUCCUCCCCCUCCCUCCUCCCCUCUCUUUCGUUCUUUACGUCUGCCGUACUUCCUGUAUCCUUGAACGUGCCUGUGCAGCGGUAGGACGUGGCUUUCCCCCUCACCCGUGAGAGCGCGUUUCACUCGAGCUUCUACAGACACCUACGCAUGCAUCCACCGGCGUGCGUGCCUUUCGCACGUGUAUGGGACGUCUGUGGACAUGCCAUAUGCCCGCUCUCAGCUCUCCCUGUUUUUCUGCCCGCUCCCUCACCGCCAGAUCUCUCGCUCGACAUCUGUGGGGCGUGCUGGUUAAGGCGCGCUGCGUUUUAGACUUUGCGUUUCUACCUUCUCUUGUUUUCUUGUGUUGUUGGUGUGGUCUUAACCGCUUAACCGAAAGGGAAGACGGGAGUUCAGUUCCUCCUCCUCCUCCCUCUCUCUCGCACACCCCCCUGAACCCCAUCAGUCAUGCAACACGCGUCGUCGCUUCCCUUUGUUGGGCGUCAUCGAUCUCCCCCCUUCCCUCACCUUAUCUGGCGCAGUCGAGGCAAAACGCAAGAAAGAGGCGGGAGGGGAGGGGAAGGGAAGGGGGUGAUGCAAACGCAUAAUGGUGUCUUAAGUCGAAUGAGGUUAGUUUUUUUUUGCGGUUCGUGUGCACAUGUCCUUCUUCUAACGCAUGUGCGGCGGGGCCUUUUUUUUUCGCGUUGUGCGGUAGGCGUGCGCGCGCACACACAGGCACGCUCCAAACAAAUGAGAUGAACGGUAGCGUGGCUAGGAGAGAGUCGGAGUAGUGAAGAUACAUUCGGAAGGGGGUGUGAUGCUCUGUAUAUGUCUGUGUGCAUGUACACUUCUCCGUACAUGUGCGCAGAUGCGGGUGUGCUCACCUCACUACUUCUCUCUGUCCCACUCAUCCAUACAUCUGCGAGCGGCGUG